RNAcentral lists this long non-coding RNA (1465 nucleotides) under Zonotrichia albicollis (white-throated sparrow). RNAcentral describes it as "lncRNA (ENSZALG00000004330.1)". The record is from RNAcentral. Lineage: Eukaryota; Metazoa; Chordata; Aves; Passeriformes; Passerellidae.
UAAACACGUGUUUAUUUUAAUUUAAUUUUUUAAAAAUAAAUCUUUACCACUAAUAUGGGAUAACCUUAGCCCAAAGGAGAGAAUGCACAGUAACAAAAAUUAUCCAUGAGAAUGAACAACAAUGCUGUGCCUGUUGGAAAAACCCAAAUUUUGUGCUGCAACAUUUCCUUUUUAUAUCAAACCUUUCCACUGCUGCUAAAUUCCACCACACUCUGGCUCUGUUCAGCACAGUUAUUCUGUUGAAGGUGAAAUCUGAAUUUCAGGGCUACAGAAUGUGACAGCACAGAAAGUCAGGGGAAAUUCAGUCUGAAAAGAGAGCAGGGAUGCACAGGACAGGGAGAAUGGAAUUAAAAUCUGUUGGGAGCAGAGCAGAGCCUGACUUAAAUGAUCCAACACCUGCAAGUGGUGUGGAAACCAUUCAUAAAUUGGUUUAUUUGCAUUUACCUGAGCUCCCAAAGAGCAAAAAGUUUAAAUUAUCCAACACCUGCAAGUGUGGUGUGGAAACCAUUCAUAAAUUGGUUUAUUUUCAUUCACCUGAGCUCCCAAAGAGCAAAAAGUUUAAAUUAUCCAACACCUGCAAGUGUGGUGUGGAAACCAUUCAUAAAUUGGUUUAUUUCCAUUUACCUGAGCUCCCAAAGAGCAAAAAGGUUAAUUUAUCCAACACCUGCAAGUGUGGUGGUGAAAACCAUUCAUAAAUUGUUGUAUUUUCAUUUACCUGAUCUCCCAAAGAGCAAAAAGUUUAAAUUAUCCCAACACCUGCAAGUGUGGUGAAAACCAUUCAUAAAUUGGUUUAUUUGCAUUUACCUGAACUCCCAAAGAGCAAAAAGUUUAAAUUAUCCAACANUAUUGAGGUUUGAGUAUUUCAGUUAAUCAGCAAGAAGAUUUUGGCAUUGCUCCUAGAGACAAGCAGGUUCCUGCCUCUUUUUAAAUAAUAACCAAGUAGUUGUUUAUUGUAAAUAAUUGUUAUUUAAAUAAUAACCAAGCAGUUGUUUGUAAGAAUGGAAUGAAGUAAUUCCUGCUUUACCCAGAGUUUCAGAGAUUACAACAUCUGCCCCACUCAUGGAAAGGUGAUUGCACUGCAUGGAUUUCAGGGGCAGGCACACAAAUGUUUGUUCUGGGCUAAUUAAAUUACAUUUUAGCAACAAAAUGAGAAGAAUAAUUCAGUUAAACCAGGAGUCUCAGCAGGACACUUGAGUAUUGAUCAGCAGUGCAGUUAUUUAUUUGUGUCAAGAGAAAACCAUCUUUGUGUUGGCAUGAAUGCAGAAGGGCUUUGGUGCAAAUCCAGGAUGCAGAAGGAAAACACAAAAGGAAAGCACAAAAGGAAAGCAGAAAUGACAUUUCCAAAUAGCUCUGUGCCAUAAUUGUAAGAAAAUUCCUGUCAGCUAGAGGUGCUUCCCUUGAAAUGUGUGUGAGUUUAGAGUGUGACUGCAAGGAAAAUAAAAAUACACAGUGGGAAGUUCGGGCA